RNAcentral lists this long non-coding RNA (849 nucleotides) under Salmo salar (Atlantic salmon). RNAcentral describes it as "lncRNA (ENSSSAG00000091380.1)". Lineage: Eukaryota; Metazoa; Chordata; Actinopteri; Salmoniformes; Salmonidae. The record is from RNAcentral.
GUCAUAGUCAGUACAUUCAUCCCCAGAUAGCUAGGUGGACCAGUCAUAGUCAGUACCUUCAUCUCCAGAUAGCUACUGUAAGGGGACCAGUCAUAGUCAGUACAUUCAUCUCCAGAUAGCUAGGUGGACCAGUCAUAGUCAGUAAAUUCACCUCCAGAUAGCUAGGUGGACCAGUCAUAGUCAGUACAUUCAUCUCCAGAUAGCUACUCUAGGUGGACCAGUCAUAGUCAGUACAUUCAUCUCCAGAUAGCUAGGUGGACCAGUCAUAGUCAGUACAUUCAGCUCCAGAUAGCUAGGUGGACCAGUCAUAGUCAGUAAAUUCACCUCCAGAUAGCUAGGUGGACCAGUCAUAGUCAGUACAUUAAUCUCCAGAUGGCUAGGUGGACCAGUCAUAGUCAGUACAUUCAUCUCUCUAGAGAGAGAAGUACAGGAAGAGAGAGACCCUUAUUUAAUAAGGGGUCACUGACUAAACUUAGAGAGGGACAGGUACUAUUAUAGAGGGGUCACAGAGAAAUCCAGGAGGAAUAGUGUUUAACAGAGGUUCUCCCACUGUUCUCAAACAGACCAUGCAGUCAUCAACUGAAAUAUUUCAUUCACAGGUUCAUUUCCCAGUAAAGACACCUUUGUAGCAUUAGCACAUUGCAGCUUCAGCCUUAGUGAACACUAACAACUAAAGUAUAGUUCUAAAAUGACAUUUGUUUCCUGGUCAAUGGUAAUACGGGAGUCCGUAUUGGUACAGCGUUGAAUAUGUCUGUAACCAUUAAGCUAAUGUAAGGCUGUGGGUUGUAGGUCUGACACAAUGUGCAUUAAACUGUAAACUUUAAUGAUGAGACUCUGUGUAAUUCAUAA